Molecule: ribosomal RNA, 411 nt
Filed under: uncultured Alphaproteobacteria bacterium
Lineage: Bacteria; Pseudomonadati; Pseudomonadota; Alphaproteobacteria
Description: bacterial SSU rRNA
Rfam family: Bacterial small subunit ribosomal RNA
Source: RNAcentral
GGCUUAAUACAUGCAAGUCGAGCGGUCUCUUUCGGGAGACAGCGGCGGACGGGUUAGUAACGCGUGGGAACGUGCCCUUUAGUACGGAAUAGCCAUUGGAAACGAUGAUUAAUACCGUAUACGCCCUAUGGGGGAAAGAUUUAUCGCUAAAGGAUCGGCCCGCGUUAGAUUAGGUUGUUGGUGGGGUAAUGGCCUACCAAGCCUACGAUCUAUAGCUGGUUUGAGAGGAUGAUCAGCAACACUGGGACUGAGACACGGCCCAGACUUCUACGGAAGGCAGCAGUAGGGAAUCUUGGACAAUGGGCGAAAGCCUGAUCCAGCCAUGCCGCGUGAGUGAUGAAGGCCCUAGGGUUGUAAAACUCUUUCGCCAGGGAAGAUAAUGACGGUACCUGGUAAAGAAACCCCGGCUAA